AGGAUGCAUGCUGCCACCCUUUGACAGGCACAGGGUUACUUUGACCUGUUAACAGGCGCAGGGUUACUUUGACCUGUUAACGCGCAGAGAUGCUUUGGACAUCUGACAGGCCAUGUCAAAUUCCUUUUCCGGUUAAAGAUCUCGUCGAGAACGGGUGUGCGCGCAAACGAAUCUUUUGUAAGAAGUGCCAUCAUAGGAAAAUUCCAUUGUGAAACAACUCGACACUGUACGGAAAAGACAUACCUUUCGGUUGAUCGCGAUAUUUUGGCUCACGCAACCGCUGAUUCCCUUGCUCGUACAAGUGGAGUGACGGGGCGACAGAUCCUGCUCGGAGGAAAGACGCCACAGCUUCAAAGACCGGACGGUCUUUCGCUUAUUGCGUGGGGCAGCGACCCACGCUAUUUAAACGCACCCCAUCGUCCAGUCGCCGUCUAAGUAAGCCGCAGAGCGCAGUCAGCCGGAGGCUGGAAUAAGCAAACGCCUUCCCGCUUGGGACCCUUCGCCUGCGAGGAGCACCCUAGACAGGGUUAAACAGCAGCGCGCGCCAAGGCGCGUGAAGAAGAAGCAGGAGCAAAUCAGGGAUGCUGCAAUGCUAAAGCCACCUGCGGCCUUCGUUUUCUCGGUUGCCCGAGCGCAGACCAUGCUGCAGUGAUGAAGCCAACUGCGGCCAUCGUCUUCCUGGUUGCCCAAUCGUCGGCCAAACAGAGGCAGAAUUCUCCGCCUUCGGCUGUCCUCUUCGCCCCGACUCUGUCCAGGAUUCCUCUUCCAGCAGCUUCAGGGAGCACAGUUCACCAAAUCAUAGGGUUUAGCGGAGGCUAGCCUCGUCUAUUACCAUCCUAAUGUUUAAAGUAUAAAAAUCUCACAAAAUUUGUAUAUUCAUGAAGAAUAAUUAUCAGCCAACCUCAUUAA
Long non-coding RNA from Drosophila miranda, 909 nucleotides. RefSeq lists it as uncharacterized. The transcript has 2 exons. NCBI's taxonomy places the organism in Eukaryota, Metazoa, Arthropoda, Insecta, Diptera, Drosophilidae. The record is from RefSeq and is a predicted model, not a curated record.